This is a long non-coding RNA of Haliotis rubra (blacklip abalone), 1183 nucleotides long. RefSeq lists it as uncharacterized. The record is from RefSeq and is a predicted model, not a curated record. NCBI's taxonomy places the organism in Eukaryota, Metazoa, Mollusca, Gastropoda, Lepetellida, Haliotidae. The transcript is spliced from 2 exons.
UCCGGCCUGAAGACGACCAAUUCAAAAUGGCGGCUGUUGUCGGUAUUGCGUGUGACUGGCUGUGGCUGUUGCUCUCGGGAUACCUAUUGAGAGAAAUGCGAGUCACUCACCUACAGACUAUAAAUUUCCGGUCUCUAAUUGGUUGAUUAACUCCGAGGUAAAAAAUAACAAUCCCACGAUCGCGUACACAAAGCCCGAAGUAGAUGUGUAGGUCAAGGUCACGAGAGGACUGGCUUGUGAGCCGAGUUAGUGGAACAGCCUUCACAUCCAUCAUUGCAGGGCCCAGGGAAUCAGAUAGAUGGCCUGUCAGUCAUAAGCUCCGCCCACCAGAAUGAAUGACAAGUUGGCUGGGGGCCAAAAAUGACUGACGAUCCUGCCACAUAAUUACAUUCAUUAAUUGAUAUGUAAAGUGAGAAGCAUGCGGCCGGGGUGUGAGAGAGAGUGCUGUUCCAAGUGUCAUUGGUAUCUUCAGCCUAUAUUCUCUCCCCAGCUCUUGUCGUCUGCUGCAAAGGACCUUCUCGUCUGCUUGCUUACUCAGGCGGGAAGGUCCGCCAUUGCAACAGACGAGCGGGAAGGCGAGCUUGAGGCGUUGGAUAUAGGGUUACCAAGCAUCUCGCUUGAGAGGUUUCUCUCGACCCACAUCGACUAGCGGGGUCAGCGACUUCAAGGACCAGGCAAAACCAACCGGGUCAGCAAGCUUCAUGGCGAUGAUCGAUUGACCAAACACUCCGUAGCAUUGUUUUAACAGACUGCACCUCAUCUGGGGUAGUGACCCACUUGGUAAAUGGAAGGGCAUUGUUCACCGGGAAGAGAAGAUAAAAGGUCUAACAUUCUAUACUGUGUGGCUGUGUUCCCAGCAACCAGGACCGUUACGUGAGGUUUUCAAGGCAAAUGACUUAGAGCCUGUGGCCAGUGUUUGCUGGGAGUGCUGAGCCAUUGCUCGGGAGCUGGGAUAGUAUUUUGAGUCAACAUCUCUCCAACAGGCAAAGGAGGAGAAACGGGUGUCUCUCGCCUGGUGUAGAGAACAUAACGUCAUGGACACAGGUUUCACAUUAGGACGUAAUGGAUUGUUUAUCUGGGAAACCAUCAUUUGAAUAUGUACAAAUGAAUUUAACAGCGGUUUGACCUAGAUUUUAUGGUAAGUUUGUUCUUGUUUGUUGGAUUCAAUAAAACGUGAAGCAAA